RNAcentral lists this ribosomal RNA (253 nucleotides) under uncultured prokaryote. RNAcentral's name for it is "partial 16S ribosomal RNA". It matches the Rfam family "Bacterial small subunit ribosomal RNA", at positions 525 to 777 of the family's 1533-position model. The record is from RNAcentral.
ACGGGGGGUGCGAGCGUUGUCCGGAAUCACUGGGCGUAAAGGGCGCGUAGGUGGUUUGAUAAGGGUGUGGUGAAAGCCCGGGGCUCAACCCCGGGUCUGCCGUGCCGACUGUCAAACUCGAGGGCUGUAGAGGCAGACGGAAUUCCGGGUGUAGAGGUGAAAUUCGUAGAUAUUGGGAAGAACACCAGUGGCGAAGGCGGCUAACUGGUCCAGAUCUGACGCUGAGGUGCGAAAGCGUGGGGAGCAAACAGGA